RNAcentral lists this long non-coding RNA (1635 nucleotides) under Homo sapiens (human). RNAcentral's name for it is "HSALNT0407109". The record is from RNAcentral. Lineage: Eukaryota; Metazoa; Chordata; Mammalia; Primates; Hominidae.
AUUCUCAAACUUUUGUCAUUUCACUUCUCUCAAAACCACUUUAGUGGACCUGUUCUCUGUAAGGUCACUACUGCCCUCCACUUCAAAUUCCAUUGUCUCCUCAAGUCCUCAACUUAGUCAUUUGACUAAUGUUAUUAUUUCCUUCUUCUUGAAACACUUUUCUUCCUUCUGGGAUCCUCUGCUCUCCUAGUACUUCUCCUACCUUCCUGGGUGCUCUCUGCACUCCUAAUAACCAAGCAGCUCACUUUUCCCUGGAGGCCCGCCAUUGUUCCUGGUCACUACACCUAGACUUUGAGAAGAAACCAGAAAUGGAUAACCUGGAUAUGUUCUCGUGGCAAACACAGAAGUAAGUGAAAACACUCAAGGCCUUUUGAGACCUGGACCUGGAACUGGCCCACCAUCACUUCCACCACAUUCUAUUGCCCAAAACAAGUUACAGGGCCAGCCCAGAUUCAAAGGAAAGGAAAAUAGACUCUGGCUCUUCAGUGGAUGAAAUUCCAAGGUCACCUGGUAAAGGAAGAGGUGAAGAAGUAAGGUCAUUAAUGUAAUCUUUCAUACUGUAACACUUGCUUUUUGACUUAGAAGGUUGAGUGUGUUUUGUAUGUCAAUCACACCUCAGUAAAACGGUUUUUAAAACAAGAAGAUUGAAUGUUUAUUUCCUUCCCUUUCAGCUCAAAGUUUCUAUACUUUAAAACAUCCAAAUAGUACAAUAUAAGCAGCGCUGGCUUUUUGGUUUGAAUUAUUAGAUAUUGUUUCAGUUCUCCAUUUCUAUAGAGGCAGACAUCAAAGACAGAAGUAUGGAAAGUGUGAUUUCACUCAUAAAUAUCCCAGUAGAACUUAAAGACAAUAUUUUAAGUAACCAACUAAAGACUCAUCUUGAACAGAAGUUAGAUAACAUCACCCACAAUCUUAGAGUUUAUUUAUUUUAUUUUAUAUUAAAGAUAAGGAUGUUCUCCCUACAUCUGAUGUCUUCACUGGAAGAGAGGCUGUGCAAAAAGGUGCUUAAAUUGUAUGUCAUUCACAAAAGGGAACAAAGGAGCUGCCACUAUUACUGCCGUUGCCAUGGCCAUAUCAUAUUAAAUCAGGAUAGAGGAGGUUAUUGAAACGGCUCUUCAAAUAAGGUAUCUUCUCAUAAGACGUCUCUGCCAGCGAAAUCAGUUGGAACAUUGGGUACAGAGUGUCCAGUGGAGAGAACGUACAAAAUACUCAAGCCGACGAAGAUCCAGUGAAUCAAAUGGCCUUGCUGUGCUCCACUCAACACUAUUUCUGUCUUGCAUGAGGUGUGUGUCCUGAAUUUGAUUUACUAUCUUUAAUGUCAUUCAUCCACAGUCCAUAGUAUAUAUAUGUGGAUGCAGCAAGGUGCUCCAAUUAGGACCUGGAAAUCCACUACAGUCCAGUUGAAGCAUAACGAUUUGAAACAUAUAAAAUGGUGGAGAGGAAGAGGGAUGUGAAGGCAACGAGUUCCUAAUGUCCUGCUUAGAAAGAAAGGGCAAUGCAGAACGGUGAUUAAGCAGCCAAAUAUCUGUGACAGUCUCAGGCUUGAGUCCAGGCUCUGCCACUGCUCGCUACGUGACUUCAGCUAGAAUAUCCCUACAGAAAAUGUCAGAUCUCGGCCGGGCGCGGUAGCUCACGCCU